UCAUUAUUAGUUCUUAACAGUUUAACUCGUAACUAAAAAAUAUGUGUGUCAUGAUACUGAUACAUUAAUAGUGCUAUUUUCGGGUUGUAAGCAAAUGUAAAUUGAUUUUUCGGGUCUCUUUUAUUUUGCAACAGGUUCAGGAUACAACUUGGUUUAGCAUUUAACUCUUUCUCAGGGUGCCUACGUCGUGUGAAUAGAAAUAUUUGCGUGGCAAGUACAUUGCAUACUUAAAAAUGGUGUAUGCAAUACGGAUUUUGAAUUUUUUCUGGCAUUCAUUAUCUGGCACUGAUCAAUACAAUAUCAAAGCAGGAUCAAGAUAUUGUGCAAGGCUUAAAUAUUUCAGUAAAGAUUGUUUGCAUAUUUGUUCAAGUUUGCGACUACCUAAAUGCUUUGUAGGUUAAUACCGGAAUUGUUGCUGUAAAUCUUGAAUUGGCUAUAAAUGUGCUUACAUAUUGAAAGAGAGCCCUGAGAACGUCUGAAUUUAACUUAAUAAUAGUAUUGCGAAAGCGAUAUGGAUCCUCAAUUUAAUUAUUGGGUUGAUCAAAAUAGAGUAUGGAUCGCCUAACAGCAUCUGUAUUAUUAAC
Molecule: unclassified non-coding RNA, 584 nt
Filed under: Dugesia gonocephala
Lineage: Eukaryota; Metazoa; Platyhelminthes; Tricladida; Dugesiidae
Source: RNAcentral